AGCAGCCGCGGUAAUUCCAGCUCCAAUAGCGUAUAUUAAAGUUGUUGCAGUUAAAAAGCUCGUAGUUGAAUUUCGGGAUUAGUACGCUGGUCGUGCCUUCGGUAUGUACUGGUGUUACUGGUUCCUACCUUCUGACGAACCGUCAUGUCAUUAAUUUGGUGUGGCGGGGAAUCAGGACUGUUACUUUGAAAAAAUUAGAGUGUUUAAAGCAGGCUCGCGCUUGAAUACAUUAGCAUGGAAUAAUGAAAUAGGACGUUCGAUCCUAUUUUGUUGGUUUCUAGGAUUGACGUAAUGAUUAAUAGGGAUAGUUGGGGGCAUUAGUAUUCAAUUGUCAGAGGUGAAAUUCUUGGAUUUAUUGAAGACUAACUACUGCGAAAGCAUUUGCCAAGGAUGUUUUCAUUAAUCAAGAACGAAGUUAGGGAUCGAAGACGAUCAGAUACCGUCGUAGUCUUAACCAUAAACUAUGCCGACUAGGGAUCGGGAUGAUGUUAUUUUUAAUGUACUNAUUUCGGCNCCUUAC
Molecule: ribosomal RNA, 520 nt
Filed under: uncultured Glomus
Lineage: Eukaryota; Fungi; Glomeromycota; Glomeromycetes; Glomerales; Glomeraceae
Description: SSU rRNA
Rfam family: Eukaryotic small subunit ribosomal RNA
Source: RNAcentral